GGCGGCGUAGCUCAGUGGUAGAGCACGGGAAUCAUAAUCCUUUGGUCGGGGGUUCAAAUCCCUCCGCCGCUACCA
Molecule: transfer RNA, 75 nt
Filed under: Rickettsiales bacterium
Lineage: Bacteria; Pseudomonadati; Pseudomonadota; Alphaproteobacteria; Rickettsiales
Description: tRNA-Met
Rfam family: tRNA
About the family: Transfer RNA (tRNA) molecules are approximately 80 nucleotides in length.
Source: RNAcentral